This 441-nucleotide ribosomal RNA is filed under the name uncultured bacterium. RNAcentral describes it as "partial 16S ribosomal RNA". It matches the Rfam family "Bacterial small subunit ribosomal RNA", at positions 338 to 795 of the family's 1533-position model. The record is from RNAcentral.
CCUACGGGUGGCAGCAGUGGGGAAUAUUGCACAAUGGCGGAAACCCUGAUGCAGCAACGCCGCGUGAGUGAAGAUGUAUUUCGGUAUGUAAAGCUCUAUCAGCAGGGAAGAAGAAAGACGGUACCUGACUAAGAAGCCCCGGCUCACUAGGUGCCAGCAGCCGCGGUCAUACGUAGGGGGCAAGCGUUAUCCGGAGUUACUGGGUGUAAAGGGAGCGUAGACGGGUGUGCAAGUCUGAAGUGAAAGCUCGUGGCUAAACCGCGGAACUGCUUUGGACACUGUAUAGCUUGAGUACUGGAGAGGCAGGCGGAAUUCGUAGUGUAGCGGUGAAAUGCGUAGAUAUUAGGAGGAACACCGAUGGCGAAGGCAGCCUGCUGGACAGAAACUGACGUUGAGGCUCGAAAGCGUGGGGAGCAAACAGGAUUAGAUACCCGUGUAGUC